RNAcentral lists this ribosomal RNA (263 nucleotides) under uncultured bacterium. Its description in RNAcentral is "partial 16S ribosomal RNA". It matches the Rfam family "Bacterial small subunit ribosomal RNA", at positions 29 to 289 of the family's 1533-position model. The record is from RNAcentral.
AUUAACGCUAGCGGCAGGCAUAAUACAUGCAAGUUGAACGGCAGCACAGGUAGCAAUACUGGGUGGCGAGUGGCGCACGGGUGCGUAACACGUAUGCAACCUACCCUAUACAGGCGAAUAACCUUUAGAAAUGAGGGCUAAUACGCCGUAGUAUUACAGAUGGGCAUCUAUUUGUAAUUAAAGAUUUAUCGGUAUAGGAUGGGCAUGCGUCCCAUUAGUUAGUUGGUAAGGCAACGGCUUACCAAGACGAUGAUGGGUAGGGG